AGGGGGAUAACUACUGGAAACGGUAGCUAAUACCGCAUAACGUCUUCGGACCAAAGUGGGGGACCUUCGGGCCUCACACCAUCGGAUGUGCCCAGAUGGGAUUAGCUAGUAGGUGGGGUAAUGGCUCACCUAGGCGACGAUCCCUAGCUGGUCUGAGAGGAUGACCAGCCACACUGGAACUGAGACACGGUCCAGACUCCUACGGGAGGCAGCAGUGGGGAAUAUUGCACAAUGGGCGCAAGCCUGAUGCAGCCAUGCCGCGUGUAUGAAGAAGGCCUUCGGGUUGUAAAGUACUUUCAGCGGGGAGGAAGGCGAUAAGGUUAAUAACCUUAUCGAUUGACGUUACCCGCAGAAGAAGCACCGGCUAACUCCGUGCCAGCAGCCGCGGUAAUACGGAGGGUGCAAGCGUUAAUCGGAAUUACUGGGCGUAAAGCGCACGCAGGCGGUCUGUCAAGUCAGAUGUGAAAUCCCCGGGCUUAACCUGGGAACUGCAUUUGAAACUGGCAGGCUAGAGUCUUGUAGAGGGGGGUAGAAUUCCAGGUGUAGCGGUGAAAUGCGUA
RNAcentral lists this ribosomal RNA (560 nucleotides) under Erwinia sp. C3-4. RNAcentral's name for it is "bacterial SSU rRNA". It matches the Rfam family "Bacterial small subunit ribosomal RNA", at positions 137 to 692 of the family's 1533-position model. RNAcentral also lists the same sequence under 1 other name. The record is from RNAcentral. Lineage: Bacteria; Pseudomonadati; Pseudomonadota; Gammaproteobacteria; Enterobacterales; Erwiniaceae.